GUGACCUCGGAUCAGGUAGGGAUACCCGCGAACUAAUCUUCUAA
This 44-nucleotide ribosomal RNA is filed under the name Pseudocercospora eumusae. RNAcentral's name for it is "partial 28S ribosomal RNA". The record is from RNAcentral. Lineage: Eukaryota; Fungi; Ascomycota; Dothideomycetes; Mycosphaerellales; Mycosphaerellaceae.